Molecule: ribosomal RNA, 256 nt
Filed under: uncultured bacterium
Lineage: Bacteria
Description: partial 16S ribosomal RNA
Rfam family: Bacterial small subunit ribosomal RNA
Source: RNAcentral
UACGAAGGGGCUGAGCGUUGCUCGGAAUUACUGGGCGUAAAGGGGAGCGUAGGCGGAUAGUUUAGUCAGAAGGUCGAAAGCCCAGGCUCGAACCUUGGAAUUGCCUUUGAUACUGGCUAUCUUGAGUAUGGAAGAGGUAUGUGGAACUCCGAGUGUAGAGGUGAAAUUCGUAGAUAUUCGGAAGAACACCAGUGGCGAAGGCGACAUACUGGUCCAUUACUGACGCUGAGGCUCGAAAGCGUGGGGAGCAACAGGG